RNAcentral lists this microRNA precursor (77 nucleotides) under Rattus norvegicus (Norway rat). RNAcentral's name for it is "mir-3473 microRNA precursor family". It matches the Rfam family "mir-3473 microRNA precursor family". Lineage: Eukaryota; Metazoa; Chordata; Mammalia; Rodentia; Muridae. The record is from Rfam by way of RNAcentral.
ACCACUGAGCCAUCUCUCCAGCCCCAAAAAUAUGUUUUUAAAAUGGAGUUUCUAGAGCUGGAGAGAUGGCUAGGGGC